This 534-nucleotide small RNA is filed under the name Histoplasma capsulatum var. duboisii H88. RNAcentral's name for it is "Histoplasma capsulatum H88 hypothetical RNA". The record is from RNAcentral. Lineage: Eukaryota; Fungi; Ascomycota; Eurotiomycetes; Onygenales; Ajellomycetaceae.
CACACCCAUGACCAUAUCCAUAUCCAUUUCCUCACUCCAUCUCUGGCCCCGCUCCUCCACCUCGACCUUCAAAAGAUCAAUCCUCUCCUGCAUGCGCACAAUAACGACCUCAUUCUCCCGGAUGGCAUCCUCGCAGUCCUGAUCGUGGUUGUCUGGUGAGCUCUCCGCGAUGUACCGGGCCAACUCGUCGUUGGAGCGCUGGAGGUGGGCGAUGGAGUUGCGGAGCUCGGAAACUUUGGCGUAGACGGAAGAGAGGGGGAGGGAUUUUAAGGCUUCGGCGAAGGCUUGCGGGGUUAUUGGGGUGGACGAGGAGGACAUUAUAUAUAUUAUGUUUUUUUUUUGUUUUGUUUUGUUUGUGAUGAUGAUUGUAGCGGAGCAAGCAGUGAGGCGGGGUGGGUUCUAGCAAGGCUGUCGAGGGGUUAUUCAGGCUUGACUGUUGGUACGGCAAAGAUAGCGAAACAAGUGAUAUAAAAUCAAUUAGCACUGUAAUUGCUCAAUGGAUCCCAGUAUCCCAAAUGGCGAUGCAGCUGGAUU